UCCCCCUAAACGGAGGCAGUUUCCCAUGACACUUAUAACAUGGGAUGAGGGUUGCGUUCGUUACCUCACUUAAGAGAACAAUUCACACCACGAACUGACGAGGACCGUGCAGCACCUGUGCUGGCAUCCUUGUGGGUACAUCGGGGUUUCCCCCGACUUUGUCCAGCAUUUCAAACCCUGGUGAGGUUCGUCGGUUGUCGUCGAAUUGAACCACAUGCACCACCGCUUGUGCGAACUCCCGUCUAUUCCUUUGAGUUUUAGUCUUGCGACCGUACUUCCCAGGCGGCACACUUAAUGCGUUAGCUUGGCCACUGAAAGGGUCGAUACUUCCAAUGACGAGUGUGCAACGUUUAGGGCGUGGACUA
RNAcentral lists this unclassified non-coding RNA (365 nucleotides) under uncultured bacterium. RNAcentral's name for it is "contains 16S-23S intergenic spacer region". The record is from RNAcentral.